UCUGGUUUGACCUUCAAAUAAAGAAGUACUUAUCUACUGCUGCCUCUUCAGUGCCACACUGAACUGAAACCUUAACAAUGGUGAUGAAAGUGGGAUCGUGUUGCCGCACUUUGAAGAGCUGAGUCACUAUGGGGGAAAGGCCUAGCAAGCACUUGGUCGGAACGGCUUUCCACUCCCCCCACUCUAUCCUACCAGAACAGAAAUGCUGGAGGAGAGUGCUUCCAAGAAUCUGCCCUGUAAGUCCCAUGGAAGCCUGCACAGCAAGAGGCUUUGAAAAGGCCACAAAAGAUUCACCAUGGCGAAGAUCGGGAUACUCUCCGAAUUCGAUGUCACUCAUCCAGUGAGGUAGAGCUCCUAUGUUGCGAGAGCUGAAAACUACCUGCGAGUUAACCAAGUUCAAGAUGAUGGAUUGAAGGCCGUGACGCAGCUGUGUGUUUGCGGUCAAGCAACUUUUGACAUUGGAGAGAACUUGGUUGCACCAGUGCCAUUUGAGUCUAUUACAUACUCAGAACUUAAGAAGAUACUCAAAGAACAUUUUGAGCCCAAGCUUUUGGUCAUCAGCUGGCGGCAUGCCUUCAAACAACAAGACCAGCAUCCUGGCGAGUCUGCCGCUGACUUCACAGCUGCUCUUUGCCAAGUGGCCCAGCAAUGCGAAUUCAAAGAACUUGAAGAAAGACUUUGGGAUCAUUUAGUUUGUGGUCUAAGGAGCCAGGAGUUGCAACAGAAGAUCUUUUGCAAAUAAAAUAUGCAUUGAGGGAGAUAACGGCCGAAGAAGCAGUGGGCGGAGCUGUUAAGGCCUUGCAGCUCUCCAAGAACCCUCCUUGCCUGGAGGCCAUCCACCAAGAGGACUCUGAAUCGGACCAUAAAGUUGAUAAGUUACAGCAACUUCCAGAAAGAAGGCCUCAACGGCAACCUGACAAGGCAGUUUCCCUCUCUCGUUGCAUCGGGUGCGGAGGCCAACAGAAACGGACUGACUGCCAAUUCCACACAGCAACUUGCCAGGUGUGUAGCAAGCAAGGCCACAUCACCACUGUUUGUUUGGAUCGCAGGAAAAAACACUCAUCAGAAGAGUUGCCUCGGAAAGGCACAUUGACCAGCUGCGAUGGAGGUUACCAAGCCACUCUUCCGCUCCUGACUCUGCUCUCAGGGGGGACAAGGAACACAAUUGCGAUCAUGCAACUGAGUCUCUCAGCGAAAGUGGGACCUUGCGAUUGCCAAAUGAGGUUUUUGCAAACGAGGCUGCUCCUAACUCAGAAAAUGUCUGAAUCCAUAAGAAGCAAGAUAGAGAAUGACAAAGCAGGUCCAUGUGACAGUAGGUUCCCAAUCAAAAUCAAACACGGGGCUGCUGGCAGAAGCACCUUGGUUAUGUGGAAAGAAAAGUCUUCAUCCUGGUUCAUCCAAGCCGGGGAUAAAUAAACAAUAUGGCAACUGCUUUGGGAA
Crotalus tigris (Tiger rattlesnake) is the source of this 1440-nucleotide long non-coding RNA. RefSeq lists it as uncharacterized. The transcript has 3 exons. NCBI's taxonomy places the organism in Eukaryota, Metazoa, Chordata, Lepidosauria, Squamata, Viperidae. The record is from RefSeq and is a predicted model, not a curated record.